AAAAGAAACAGAGGUGUCUCCAAUUGAUGGCCCCCACAAAAACUCAAAAUUUACACGCCUACCUCCCCCAUCCCUAAUACAUGUUUCCUCGAGCGGUGCUGCACUCCCACCACCACCCGCAGCGCCGCUGCACUCAAAGUGGAAUCGGCGCUGCACACAGCAGGUAGACUGACAGAAAUGGAGAUUUUAGAGUGAAGCGGGUUAAUUCUAUUUUGAUGAAAUUUGAAUGUCAAAAUCGAGGGCAAAUGCGGCAAUCGGAUUCCACUAUACAAUUGUGGCUUCCGUAUCCGAGGGGGGGUGGGAGUUAUGUAAUCGAGAGUGAACAGUGCAUUUUCGUCAGGGCCUUGCAUUUUGCCGGGCCGUCCGUGUAGUGUGCCAAGACUACCAAACUCACGUAUAACAGUGGAUAUCGUUGCUAAUACAGUGUAUUCCAAGCUAUCAAACGUG
Molecule: long non-coding RNA, 447 nt
Filed under: Salvia miltiorrhiza (redroot sage)
Lineage: Eukaryota; Viridiplantae; Streptophyta; Magnoliopsida; Lamiales; Lamiaceae
Description: long non-coding RNA (SMIL_LNC013505)
Source: RNAcentral